GUAGGUGGCAAGCGUUGUCCGGAAUUAUUGGGCGUAAAGCGCGCGCAGGCGGUUCUUUAAGUCUGAUGUGAAAGCCCACGGGCUCAACCGUGGAGGGUCAUUGGAAACUGGAGAACUUGAGUACAGAAGAGGAAAGCGGAAUUCCACGUGUAGCGGUGAAAUGCGUAGAGAUGUGGAGGAACACCAGUGGCGAAGGCGGCUUUCUGGUCUGUAACUGACGCUGAGGCGCGAAAGCGUGGGGAGCAAACAGGAUUAGAUACCCUGGUAGUCCACGCCGUAAACGAUGAGUGCUAGUGUUAGGGGGUUUCCGCCCCUUAGUGCUGCAGCUAACGCAUUAAGCACUCCGCCUGGGGAGUACGGCCGCAAGGCUG
Molecule: ribosomal RNA, 371 nt
Filed under: uncultured organism
Description: partial 16S ribosomal RNA
Rfam family: Bacterial small subunit ribosomal RNA
Source: RNAcentral